GGGAUUUACCACCUUCUCCCACAUGAGUCCUUUGGGCUGUACUGAACCCAGUCAGCCACGCUGCUAAACCUCUGCAGAGAAGAAUUUUGUGGUCAUAGGUCAUCAAGGGCCCCAACAAAGUACGCGUACCAACGGGACACUAAUCUUACGUUUGCUACAUCAAGUCACGUGACUGGGGAAAGUCACAGGUAUUAGCAGCGUGGGCACCGGUGAACCUAAAAAUAGUGUUUUGCCCUGUUAUGUUAUAUUUGUCUCCUGUUUAAUAUAAUUAUUGUGUUGAACAUAUUGUAUGUGUUUGUGUUAUUUCUUGGAAGUUUCCAACUAUCUGACAAGUAAGUGGGGGUUACCCUGUGGCUAGAAUUUUCCUCCCAAGCUGCCCUGGUGACCCUGCCAGGAAGGAGGGAGGGGGUGUGUGUGGAAGGACAGUGACAUAA
Molecule: long non-coding RNA, 434 nt
Organism: Chelonia mydas (Green sea turtle)
Lineage: Eukaryota; Metazoa; Chordata; Testudines; Cheloniidae
Exons: 4
Source: RefSeq, a predicted model, not a curated record